UCCGCCACAGGAACAAUAGUAUCGAAGAAUCUAAGAUGCAUCAAUAUGCCACCUAUUGCAAUCAAUGUACCACUCGUAUUUCUAAUGAAAAAACUUAAUCCAUUUGAAUCUCUACAAUUCUGAACGUUGCUAUCAAAGUUGACUUUAAGGAAAUUAGGAGGUGGUGGUUUCCAAGUAAAGUAAGUCAUCUAUGGGAUCACAGAACCUUUUAAAAAAUAAUAUGUAGUUAAUUUCAAAAAUAAGUUUUAAAAUUUUCACUACUAAAAAUAAAAAUAAAAUAAAUAGAAGAAAAGUUAGAUCAUUAGCAUGGGAUUGAAGUACGUGGUAAAGCCAUUGGGACCCUAUAAGUAGUGUAGACCCCUAUAUUAAAAGGUUUCAUGUUACCACCAAUGCCCGAUUGCAAUGUUUUUUUAAAAUUGAAUUUUUUUUGGAGAUCUACGAUAUGACACCUCCUCUAAAAGAGGCUGCUCAGCUAGCGAUCAAGCACAAAUUCCAUCAUUUGGGCUCCAAAUAAGCCGAUCAAAUCGAUUUUUUUCAGGUAAGAAUUUGACAAGACAUAUCUUCCAAUCCAGGAAGAUUUAGGGGAAGUAACAAAAUAAAAAAUUAAUAAAAAAAAUCUAGAUCUACCUCAUGUAGAAUUUUAUCUUUUUUAUAUUUAUUUUCCACUAAACAUAUCUAUUUUGGAAAGCUAGUCUCGUUUGAAUUAGGAGAAGAAUUUUAUCCUAAUUGUGCAAGGGAGAACCUCCCUAUAAUAAAUAGAGACUAUGUAUUUUAGUUUAUUAUUCAUCAAUGGAUCAUCAAUAA
RNAcentral lists this long non-coding RNA (804 nucleotides) under Phoenix dactylifera (date palm). RNAcentral's name for it is "long non-coding RNA (PDAC_LNC008140)". Lineage: Eukaryota; Viridiplantae; Streptophyta; Magnoliopsida; Arecales; Arecaceae. The record is from RNAcentral.